Molecule: unclassified non-coding RNA, 2429 nt
Filed under: Penaeus japonicus
Lineage: Eukaryota; Metazoa; Arthropoda; Malacostraca; Decapoda; Penaeidae
Description: synaptogenesis protein syg-2-like, transcript variant X2
Source: RNAcentral
UAUCAACUUUUUCCUUUGCAGGAUUUAUAACAAGGACCGUCGGAGUGAUAGGACAGACUGCCAAGAUCUUCUGCAACAUUUCCUCAGAAGCGGUUGAUGACCGCGUGAUGCUUACCCUGUGGUUCAAAAGCAAGAGUAAGAAGCCAAUGUACAGCUACGACGCAAGAAGCUCGACGCCAAGAGAAUGGUCAGACAGUUCCUUCUUCGGCGACAGAGCCAAGUACGUGGCCGUGGAACAACCUCCUUAUUUGGCCAUCACGGACGUCAAGGCCACUGACGAAGGGGUCUACGAGUGUCGUGUUGACUUUGCGAGGUCACCUUCGCGGAGACAUCGGACGAGUCUUGGUGUCAUUAUUCCACCAGGUACUCCCAGGAUUUUGAGAAACGACAGUACUGUUGCUUCGAAUGGAAUCGCGGGCCCAUAUAAUGAAGGUUCAAACGUUACCAUCACGUGUCAAGUAAAAGGAGGAAAACCACCCCCGCAAGUGAAAUGGUGGAGAGAAAAUGAACUGCAAGAUGACGAGGUGGAGAAGAGAAUGGCUGGAGAAUAUCGCAAUGAAUUACACAUCGGCCCCUUAACGCGUGAACAUCUCAAUGCGAAGUACGUGUGUCAGGUGACCAACCAUGAACUUGUCGACGCUCGCAGUGCCAACGUCGUCCUGCUUGUCAACUUGCCUCCCCUGGAAGUGAAGUUCGUAGACCCCCCGAGUCACGUCGUUGCAGGCAAGAGUCACGCAGUGCAAUGCAAAAGCAGUGGCGGUCGUCCCCAUUCCCGGAUCUCAUGGUGGCUAGACGGAAAGCCCUUUGGGACAGAGGCGUUUAAGAUGGUCAACAAAACCGACGGAACCUUGAGCACUCUCACCUUCACGCCCACGGAGGAGGACCAUAACAAAAUGUUGCAUUGCAAGGCUGAGUCCCCCGUUUUGCAGCACACGCCCAUUGAGGACACCUUGAAACUCGACGUUUAUUCUGUACCUAAGGUCCUUAGUAUCGACAUUGAAACCCCGGACCCUGCUUACGUUAAGGAAGGAGAAAACGUAACCCUUUGGUGCAGAGUCAAGGCUUAUCCCAAGGUCAAGCAAAUCACCUGGUAUCAUAAGGGAAUCCAAGUGCGGCACAAUUUGGAGGAGGGGAUUAAAGUGGGAAGGCAGAAGCUGAUGAUGAUCGGGAUAGAGCGACACCGGGCGGGUAUGUACUCUUGCAGGGGCACCAACGCUGUAGGAGAUGGCCAAAGCGAACCCUCUAUCCUUGAUGUGAAAUAUGCCCCCGUAUGCUCCUUCAACUCUUCGGAAAAAGUGGGGAUCGCAAGGAACGACCAAGUGAUGGUUCAGUGUCGCGUCGACGCCUCCCCCGGCCACGUCACCUUCAAGUGGUACCUCAGAACCAAUACCAAGCUGAUCAACAUACCCACGGAAUGGUUUACCGUGCAGGACCGCACUUCGAGUCUCAACUACAAUGUCACGGGCAUAUAUGCGUACGGCGACAUCCUCUGCUACGCCUCGAACGAGCUGGGGGAACAAGCCAAGCCGUGCAGCUACACCCUGGUCCCGGCGGGCAGACCAGAGCCGCCCAGAGACUGCACGGCGAGUAACCACACCGCAGACACCUUCCACGUGGCCUGCUUCCCUGGCUACGACGGAGGACUCGAGCAGGAAUUCGUCGUCCUGGCCUUCGACGACAAGAACGAACGCCUCAUUCGCAACGAGACCGUGAAGGGAGCACCCGUCUUUACCCUGGAAGAUCUUCCUCCCGAGUCAGACUACCUGGUUAAGGUGUACGCCCAAAACAUCAAAGGAAAGAGCACGGAGCAGGUGUUACACGGGUUUACUUUGCCUUCCGCUCAACCAGGCACAGCCGUUCCCGCCACCCACAUCUUCCCCAUCACGCCCAUCUUGGGUGUGCUGAUCGGCGUGGUGGCUGCCCUGGUGUUGGUGGCCGUGGUGGUGGUGGUGGUGAUGAAGUUACGAGGCGACACCAGGACCAUCAAAGGGAGGCCUGAGGGGGGGUUGAAGGGGCCUCACUCCCCCCUUCACCCGGCUAAGGACGGAGAUGACGGGCCCGACGUCAUCUUGUGUCGCACGGACUCAACGUACGAGGACGUCGAUGGCAUCCCCCAGAAGCUGAAGCACGCCAACAUCUACGAGACUGUCCCUUACGACACGAAGGACAAAAACAGCAAGAACAGUGAGUCUUGUUGUACUUAUGCCUGCUAGCUACUGUCUGCCUGCUACCCUGCCUUCCAAAAUGUAUUUAAUCUAUGUACCUUCAUCAGCAUUGUAUUUAAUAUCACAGCGGUGACACGGAUGAAGUGGCAUAUGCCGAGCUGACCUUCAGCAACGGCAAGAGCAAAUCCAAGAAGAACAAGAAGCCCGGAGCAAACGGCGCCAUCAGAACCUCCGAGGAAUCCACCAUCUACGCCACCAUCGACC